Molecule: long non-coding RNA, 677 nt
Organism: Cicer arietinum (chickpea)
Lineage: Eukaryota; Viridiplantae; Streptophyta; Magnoliopsida; Fabales; Fabaceae
Source: RefSeq, a predicted model, not a curated record
CAUACUUCAGCAAACCAAAUGCACGCCGCUGAAAAAAAAAAUAAAAUAAAAGAAAACUUGCAGACUUCAUCUCUUUUCUUUGGCCACCGUCUUUGUAACCAAACACCCGACACAAUUCAAUUCUUUUAUCUUCCAUUGUAUACGGAUGAAUGACCAAUACCUUCCUUCUCUUUUCAUUAUCUUCAUCAAAAUCACUCUCGUUUAUAUGUCACAUGAAGAAGAAAUCAAACUCUGACCUAUUCCUUCUGGCAUCAACAUUUCCGCAAAAGCUUUUUUGGCCGCCAUAGUGGCGCACUAAAACAUCGACAAGCAAUUUCGCGUUCUCCACGUCGAUUUGUCCUCUAUCUCUUCAUUUUUAAGUUUCGCCAACAUUCACGAAAACCCGACGGCGGUGGCGUUACGUGUUGUUGUUAUCCAUAAGCAUCGUUUCAAGUCAUUCGUGUCGUCAUUUCAGGUUAUCAGUUGGUGAUCCACGCUCUGAUAGGUGAUACUGAGUGGGAGUAAUUUGUCAUAUUUUAUUGAGUUAUGAAUUAAUUUAGAUUUUUAUAAAUUCGAUUGAUCAAUUGUCUUAUUUUUAUCUUUUAUUCAGAUGUAGAAAUUAGUUGUCUAUAAGUUUAGCACGCGUUUUCAUGUCAGAAAUUUUUAUUUAAUAAACCUCAACUAUAUUCGAUAUUAAA